AACGAACGCUGGCGGCAGGCCUAACACAUGCAAGUCGAACGCCCCGCAAGGGGAGUGGCAGACGGGUGAGUAACGCGUGGGAACCUUCCCUUUGGUACGGAAUAAUUCACCGAAAGGUGGACUAAUACCGCAUACGCCCGAGAGGGGAAAGAUUUAUCGCCAAAGGAUGGGCCCGCGUUGGAUUAGCUAGUUGGUGAGGUAACGGCUCACCAAGGCGACGAUCCAUAGCUGGUCUGAGAGGAUGAUCAGCCACACUGGGACUGAGACACGGCCCAGACUCCUACGGGAGGCAGCAGUGGGGAAUAUUGGACAAUGGGCGCAAGCCUGAUCCAGCCAUGCCGCGUGAGUGAUGAAGGCCUCGGUUGUAAGCUCUUUGNGGGACGGAGUAAUAGACGGUA
This 398-nucleotide ribosomal RNA is filed under the name uncultured bacterium. RNAcentral's name for it is "bacterial SSU rRNA". It matches the Rfam family "Bacterial small subunit ribosomal RNA", at positions 29 to 459 of the family's 1533-position model. The record is from RNAcentral.